Molecule: ribosomal RNA, 245 nt
Filed under: uncultured bacterium
Lineage: Bacteria
Description: partial 16S ribosomal RNA
Rfam family: Bacterial small subunit ribosomal RNA
Source: RNAcentral
CACGUAUGGGGCGAGCGUUGUUCGGAAUUAUUGGGCGUAAAGGGUAUGCAGGCGGUUUGACAAGUCUGAUGUGUAAGACUUUGGCUUAACCAAGGGAACGCGUUGGAAACUGUCGAGCUAGAGUACAGGAAGGGGAGUUGGAAUUCCAGGUGUAGGGGUGAAAUCUGUAGAUAUCUGGAAGAACAUCAGUGGCGAAGGCGAACUCCUGGCCAUGUACUGACGCUGAGAUACGAAAGCGUGGGGAG